AAUUAUGGACACAGCUGGUCAGGAAGAAAAUGAGUUGAUGAUGGAGGAAAAAAUUCGAUGGGCAGAUGCUUUUAUUCUCGUGUAUGCUAUUAAUGAUCAGACAAGUUUCGAAGAACUUCCGAGGUUCAAAGUUACGAUCACGCACACGAUCGCGCAAAUGAGUCACCAACACAAGCUGAGUCAGCAAACGUCAAAAGUUUUGUAGAUUUAGACCAUUCAACCAGCAUAUAAGUAUAACCUCAUGUUUGAC
Non-coding RNA from Styela clava, 250 nucleotides. Lineage: Eukaryota; Metazoa; Chordata; Ascidiacea; Stolidobranchia; Styelidae. The record is from RefSeq and is a predicted model, not a curated record.